This 533-nucleotide ribosomal RNA is filed under the name Epicoccum nigrum. RNAcentral's name for it is "eukaryotic LSU rRNA". The stretch from base 163 to 316 matches the Rfam family "5.8S ribosomal RNA". The record is from RNAcentral. Lineage: Eukaryota; Fungi; Ascomycota; Dothideomycetes; Pleosporales; Didymellaceae.
ACCUGCGGAAGGAUCAUUACCUAGAGUUUGUAGACUUCGGUCUGCUACCUCUUACCCAUGUCUUUUGAGUACCUUCGUUUCCUCGGCGGGUCCGCCCGCCGAUUGGACAACAUUCAAACCCUUUGCAGUUGCAAUCAGCGUCUGAAAAAACAUAAUAGUUACAACUUUCAACAACGGAUCUCUUGGUUCUGGCAUCGAUGAAGAACGCAGCGAAAUGCGAUAAGUAGUGUGAAUUGCAGAAUUCAGUGAAUCAUCGAAUCUUUGAACGCACAUUGCGCCCCUUGGUAUUCCAUGGGGCAUGCCUGUUCGAGCGUCAUUUGUACCUUCAAGCUCUGCUUGGUGUUGGGUGUUUGUCUCGCCUCUGCGUGUAGACUCGCCUUAAAACAAUUGGCAGCCGGCGUAUUGAUUUCGGAGCGCAGUACAUCUCGCGCUUUGCACUCAUAACGACGACGUCCAAAAGUACAUUUUUACACUCUUGACCUCGGAUCAGGUAGGGAUACCCGCUGAACUUAAGCAUAUCAAUAAAGCGGAGG